This 549-nucleotide ribosomal RNA is filed under the name uncultured bacterium. RNAcentral's name for it is "bacterial SSU rRNA". It matches the Rfam family "Bacterial small subunit ribosomal RNA", at positions 355 to 896 of the family's 1533-position model. The record is from RNAcentral.
UGGGGAAUUUUGGACAAUGGGCGCAAGCCUGAUCCAGCCAUGCCGCGUGUCUGAAGAAGGCCUUCGGGUUGUAAAGGACUUUUGUCAGGGAAGAAAAGGAUAGGGUUAAUACCCCUGUCUGAUGACGGUACCUGAAGAAUAAGCACCGGCUAACUACGUGCCAGCAGCCGCGGUAAUACGUAGGGUGCGAGCGUUAAUCGGAAUUACUAGGCGUAAAGCGGGCGCAGACGGUUACUUAAGCAGGAUGUGAAAUCCCCGGGCUCAACCUGGGAACUGCGUUCUGAACUGGGUGACUAGAGUGUGUCAGAGGGAGGUAGAAUUCCACGUGUAGCAGUGAAAUGCGUAGAGAUGUGGAGGAAUACCGAUGGCGAAGGCAGCCUCCUGGGAUAACACUGACGUUCAUGCCCGAAAGCGUGGGUAGCAAACAGGAUUAGAUACCCUGGUAGUCCACGCCCUAAACGAUGUCGAUUAGCUGUUGGGCAGCUUGACUGCUUAGUAGCGAAGCUAACGCGUGAAAUCGACCGCCUGGGGAGUACGGUCGCAAGAUUA